Molecule: ribosomal RNA, 426 nt
Filed under: uncultured bacterium
Lineage: Bacteria
Description: bacterial SSU rRNA
Rfam family: Archaeal small subunit ribosomal RNA
Source: RNAcentral
GCCUACGGGGCGCAGCAGGCGCGAAAACUCUACAAUGCAGGCAACUGCGAUAGGGGAACAUCGAGUGAUCCUCAUAUUGGGGGUCUGUCCACCCGUCUAAAAAACGGGUGUUAGCAAGGGCCGGGCAAGACCGGUGCCAGCCGCCGCGGUAAUACCGGCGGCUCGAGUGGUGGCCGAUAUUAUUGAGUCUAAAGGGUCCGUAGCCGGCUUUGCAAGUCUCUCGGGAAAUCCAGCGGCUUAACCGUUGGUCGUCCGGGGGGUACUACAUUGCUUGGGACUGGGAGAGGUAGGAGGUACUCAGGGGGUAGGAGUGAAAUCCUGUAAUCCUUUGGGGACCACCGGUGGCGAAGGCGUCCUACCAGAACAGGUCCGACGGUGAGGGACGAAAGCUAGGGGCACGAACCGGAUUAGAUACCCCAGUAGUCC